Molecule: ribosomal RNA, 992 nt
Filed under: uncultured Corynebacterium sp.
Lineage: Bacteria; Bacillati; Actinomycetota; Actinomycetes; Mycobacteriales; Corynebacteriaceae
Description: bacterial SSU rRNA
Rfam family: Bacterial small subunit ribosomal RNA
Source: RNAcentral
GUGCCAGCAGCCGCGGUAAUACGUAGGGUGCGAGCGUUGUCCGGAAUUACUGGGCGUAAAGGGCUCGUAGGUGGUUUGUCGCGUCGUCUGUGAAAUUCCGGGGCUUAACUCCGGGCGUGCAGGCGAUACGGGCAUAACUUGAGUACUGUAGGGGUAACUGGAAUUCCUGGUGUAGCGGUGAAAUGCGCAGAUAUCAGGAGGAACACCGAUGGCGAAGGCAGGUUACUGGGCAGUUACUGACGCUGAGGAGCGAAAGCAUGGGUAGCGAACAGGAUUAGAUACCCUGGUAGUCCAUGCCGUAAACGGUGGGCGCUAGGUGUGAGGGUCUUUUCACGACUUUCGUGCCGUAGCUAACGCAUUAAGCGCCCCGCCUGGGGAGUACGGCCGCAAGGCUAAAACUCAAAGGAAUUGACGGGGGCCCGCACAAGCGGCGGAGCAUGUGGAUUAAUUCGAUGCAAAGCGAAGAACCUUACCUGGGCUUGACAUACACCAGAUCGCCGUAGAGAUACGGUUUCCCUUUGUGGUUGGUGUACAGGUGGUGCAUGGUUGUCGUCAGCUCGUGUCGUGAGAUGUUGGGUUAAGUCCCGCAACGAGCGCAACCCUUGUCUUAUGUUGCCAGCAAUUCGGUUGGGGACUCGUGAGAGACUGCCGGGGUUAACUCGGAGGAAGGUGGGGAUGACGUCAAAUCAUCAUGCCCCUUAUGUCCAGGGCUUCACACAUGCUACAAUGGUCGGUACAACGCGUUUGCGAGCCUGUGAGGGUGAGCUAAUCGCUGAAAGCCGGUCGUAGUUCGGAUUGGGGUCUGCAACUCGACCCCAUGAAGUCGGAGUCGCUAGUAAUCGCAGAUCAGCAACGCUGCGGUGAAUACGUUCCCGGGCCUUGUACACACCGCCCGUCACGUUAUGAAAGUUGGUAACACCCGAAGCCAGUGGCCUGUUAAAGGGAGCUGUCGAAGGUGGGAUCGGCGAUUGGGACGAAGUCGUAACAAGGUA